CCUACGGGGGGCUGCAGUAGGGAAUCUUCCGCAAUGGACGAAAGUCUGACGGAGCAACGCCGCGUGAGUGAAGAAGGUUUUCGGAUCGUAAAACUCUGUUGUAAGGGAAGAACAAGUACGUUAGUAACUGAACGUACCUUGACGGUACCUUACCAGAAAGCCACGGCUAACUACGUGCCAGCAGCCGCGGUAAUACUAAUGUGGCAAGAGUUAUCCGGAAUUAUUGGGCGUAAAGCGCGCGUAGGCGGUGUCUGAAGUCAGGUGUGAAAGCCCCCGGCUCAAGCGGGGAGGGUCAUUGGAAACUGGGGGGCUUGAGUGCAGAAGAGGAUGGUGGAAUUCCCUGUGUAGCGGUGAAAUGCGCAGAGAUAGGGAGGAACACCGGUGGCGAAGGCGGCUCUCUGGUCUGUAACUGACGCUGAGGUGCGAAAGCGUGGGGAGCAAACAGGAUUAGAUACCCCUGUAGUC
RNAcentral lists this ribosomal RNA (465 nucleotides) under uncultured Macrococcus sp. RNAcentral describes it as "bacterial SSU rRNA". It matches the Rfam family "Bacterial small subunit ribosomal RNA", at positions 338 to 795 of the family's 1533-position model. The record is from RNAcentral. Lineage: Bacteria; Bacillati; Bacillota; Bacilli; Caryophanales; Staphylococcaceae.